GACGAACGCUGGCGGCGUGCUUAACACAUGCAAGUCGAACGGAAAGUCCCUGCUUUUGUGGGGUGCUCGAGUGGCGAACGGGUGAGUAACACGUGAGUAACCUGCCCUUGACUUUGGGAUAUCUUCAUGAAACUUGGGCUAAUACCGGAUAGGAGCUCCUGCUGCAUGGUGGGGGUUGGAAAGUUUCGGCGGUUGGGGAUGGACUCGCGUCUUAUCAGCUUGUUGGUGGGGUAGUGGCUUACCAAGGCUUUGACGGGUAGCCGGCCUGAGCGGGUGACCGGCCACAUUGGGACUGAGAUACGGCCCAGACUCCUACGGGAGGCAGCAGAGGGGAAUAUUGCACAAUGGGCGGAAGCCUGAUGCAGCAACGCCGCGUGCGGGAUGACGGCCUUCGGGUUGUAAACCGCUUUCGCCUGUGACGAAGCGUGAGUGACGGUAAUGGGUAAAGAAGCACCGGCUAACUCCGUG
RNAcentral lists this ribosomal RNA (468 nucleotides) under uncultured bacterium. RNAcentral's name for it is "partial 16S ribosomal RNA". It matches the Rfam family "Bacterial small subunit ribosomal RNA", at positions 28 to 507 of the family's 1533-position model. The record is from RNAcentral.